AGUGAUCAGUGGCGAACGGGUGAGUAACACGUGGGCAACCUGCCCCCCGCUUCGGGAUAACUCCGGGAAACCGGGGCUAAUACCGAAUAUUCAGGUACCUCGGCAUCGAGGAACCUGGAAAGGAUUCAGGCGAGGGAUGGGCCCGCGGCCUAUCAGCUAGUUGGUGAGGUAAUGGCUCACCAAGGCGACGACGGGUAGCCGGCCUGAGAGGGCGACCGGCCACACUGGGACUGAGACACGGCCCAGACUCC
This 251-nucleotide ribosomal RNA is filed under the name uncultured bacterium. Its description in RNAcentral is "partial 16S ribosomal RNA". It matches the Rfam family "Bacterial small subunit ribosomal RNA", at positions 87 to 339 of the family's 1533-position model. The record is from RNAcentral.